RNAcentral lists this ribosomal RNA (253 nucleotides) under Agrilutibacter terrestris. RNAcentral's name for it is "partial 16S ribosomal RNA". It matches the Rfam family "Bacterial small subunit ribosomal RNA", at positions 524 to 776 of the family's 1533-position model. The record is from RNAcentral. Lineage: Bacteria; Pseudomonadati; Pseudomonadota; Gammaproteobacteria; Lysobacterales; Lysobacteraceae. RNAcentral also lists the same sequence under 3 other names.
UACGAAGGGUGCAAGCGUUACUCGGAAUUACUGGGCGUAAAGCGUGCGUAGGUGGUUCGUUAAGUCUGAUGUGAAAGCCCUGGGCUCAACCUGGGAAUGGCAUUGGAUACUGGCGACCUAGAGUGCGGUAGAGGGGUGUGGAAUUCCCGGUGUAGCAGUGAAAUGCGUAGAUAUCGGGAGGAACAUCUGUGGCGAAGGCGACACCCUGGACCAGCACUGACACUGAGGCACGAAAGCGUGGGGAGCAAACAGG